RNAcentral lists this long non-coding RNA (803 nucleotides) under Apteryx rowi (Okarito brown kiwi). Its description in RNAcentral is "lncRNA (ENSARWG00000009577.1)". Lineage: Eukaryota; Metazoa; Chordata; Aves; Apterygiformes; Apterygidae. The record is from RNAcentral.
CUUUCUUGUUCAAUAGAGAGGCAGUUCAAGACUUCACAGCGGAACCAGUGCACAGUGCUGCAUUCAUGGACUUCAGUAGUUUGCAAUUGCAUCUGUGGAGAACCAGCAGUUCAAGAAGGUGGAUCCUUAGUGCAACAAGCUGGAGCUGCAAUGUGGACCUCCCAGUGCAUUCUCUGAGGUCACAUGGAAAACUUUCCCAAGAGUUAAAAUUCAUCAAAAGCUAUCCUGGAAAAAGUUUCUGGAAAAAAUAUUGAAGGUAUGAGCACCAGUUCACCUGCUUCUCCUCACCACAGUAACAGCUACUGCUUGAAACUCCUGCUUACCCCUCUCCCACAAGCCUUGGCAAACUGGGCUGCAGCAUUCAUUCAGCAGGCACCAGCAUGCCUCAGACCUGCCCCUGAGGAAAGUCUUCAUGCAGGAAGCUCUUGAAGAACAAUCCCUUGAUCGGCAAAAGAACGUAUAGGGACCUCCCUUGCCUGAGAGGCACAGAGCUGGGUAAGUGGAUAUUUUUGCAAAUUUUUUAAAGAACAUCCUCAGCUUCAAUCUGACAACACAAAACUGAUAUGUUCCUCUUCUCUCCUAGGAGUGGAAAUGUGAGGUCCAACCAGAAGCCACCCAGUGGAAACAGCCCCCUGAGCCGUUCCUCUUGGCACUUUCCGUCGGUGGUGUCGUGUGCCUUAUCUCCGAGUCUCAGCACGCCGGCUCCCUCCUGGACCUCAGUCCGUUUGUCUGCCGAUAAAUGCUUUCCCAUCUGGUUUUGGCUCCACACUGGAUUUCUCCCGGACCUUGAAAGCAGUGAAUAG